This 25-nucleotide transfer RNA is filed under the name Duma coccoloboides. Its description in RNAcentral is "partial tRNA-Phe". Lineage: Eukaryota; Viridiplantae; Streptophyta; Magnoliopsida; Caryophyllales; Polygonaceae. The record is from RNAcentral.
GGGAAUGUCGGGAUAGCUCAGUGGU